Molecule: ribosomal RNA, 252 nt
Filed under: uncultured prokaryote
Description: partial 16S rRNA
Rfam family: Archaeal small subunit ribosomal RNA
Source: RNAcentral
ACCGGCAGCUCAAGUGGUGGCCAUUUUUAUGGGGCCAAAGCGGUUCGUACCCGGUUGGUAAAGUCCUUGGGGAAAUCCCCCACCUUAAUGUUGGGCCUUCUGGGAGAUACUAUUAGACUUGAGGUCGGGAGAGGUUAGGGGUACUCCCAGGGUAGGGGUGAAAUCCUAUAAUCCUGGGAGGACCACCUGUGGCGAAGGCGCCUAACUGGAACGAACCUGACGGUGAGUAACGAAAGCCAGGGGCGCGAACCG